Molecule: ribosomal RNA, 468 nt
Filed under: uncultured bacterium
Lineage: Bacteria
Description: partial 16S ribosomal RNA
Rfam family: Bacterial small subunit ribosomal RNA
Source: RNAcentral
GACGAACGCUGGCGGCGUGCUUAACACAUGCAAGUCGAACGGAAAGGCCCUGCUUUUGUGGGGUGCUCGAGUGGCGAACGGGUGAGUAACACGUGAGUAACCUGCCCUUGACUUUGGGAUAACUUCAGGAAACUGGGGCUAAUACCGGAUAGGAGCUCCUGCUGCAUGGUUGGGGUUGGAAAGUUUCGGCUGUUGGGGAUGGACGCGCGGCUUAUCAGCUUGUUGGUGGGGUAGUGGCUUACCAAGGCUUUGACGGGUAGCCGGCCUGAGAGGGUGACCGGCCACAUGGGGACUGAGAUACGGCCCAGACUCCUACGGGAGGCAGCAGUGGGGAAUAUUGCACAAUGGGCGGAAGCCUGAUGCAGAAACGCAGCGUGCGGGAUGAAGGCCUUCGGGUUGUAAACCGCUUUAGCCUGUGACGAAGCGUGAGUGACGGUAAUGGGUAAAGAAGCACCGGCUAACUACGUG